UACGGAGGGGGCAAGCGUUAUUCGGAAUCACUGGGCGUAAAGGGCGCGUAGGCGGCCAUUUAAGUCGGGGGUGAAAGCCUGUGGCUCAACCACAGAAUUGCCUUCGAUACUGGAUGGCUUGAGACCGGAAGAGGUAAGUGGAACUGCGAGUGUAGAGGUGAAAUUCGUAGAUAUUCGCAAGAACACCAGUGGCGAAGGCGGCUUACUGGUCCGGAUCUGACGCUGAGGCGCGAAAGCGUGGGGAGCAAACAGG
Molecule: ribosomal RNA, 253 nt
Filed under: uncultured bacterium
Lineage: Bacteria
Description: partial 16S ribosomal RNA
Rfam family: Bacterial small subunit ribosomal RNA
Source: RNAcentral